CCCUUAGAUGUUCUGGGCAGCACGCGCGCUACAAUGGUCUUCGCAAACGGAUGCAUUCUCGAAGGAGAAUGCCAAUCUUGGAACCUAUGCCUUGGUCGGGACAGUUGCUUGCAAUUUUUCGACUCGAACCAGGAAUUCCUUGUAAUCGUGAUUCAUCACAUCACGAUGAAUACGUCCCUGCCCUUUGUACACACCGCCCGUCGCUCCUACCGAUUGGGUGUGCUGGUGAAAUGUUCGGAUCGGCCGUUUGUCGCGGUUUCCGCGUCAUGUGGCUGAGAAGUUCAUUAAACCCUCCCACCUAGAGGAAGGAGAAGUCGUAACA
RNAcentral lists this ribosomal RNA (322 nucleotides) under uncultured eukaryote. RNAcentral's name for it is "partial 18S ribosomal RNA". It matches the Rfam family "Eukaryotic small subunit ribosomal RNA", at positions 1470 to 1796 of the family's 1831-position model. The record is from RNAcentral.